GGAGACAGUAACACCGACGCGCCUCCAGGUGGUGGGCACUGACUCUGGAGAGCCCCUGAGUGUGCCCUAAGUGCAUGCGCGUAUGUGCUUGUAUACUGUGUGCACGCCAGGCAGACAGGGGCUCAGUAAGCACAGGGGCCAAGGAGGGACGCUGGUGCAGUCACACAGACCGCCUUGCGUGGCGACCCAAGGCCUCAGGGCCCCCCAAAGUGGGGCUGGUGGGUUCUGGAGUAUGGUAGAAGUGGUCUCACUUCUUCAUCUUUAUGCUGUAGCCUGUGCCAGAAAAGGGCCCUUUCCAAACACAAAGGACCUUUCCGGUUGGACGCCGUCCUCUGGGAGAGAGGAGCUCUGGAAAGGGAAACGGGCGGCUGCGGCCACUAGAAACCCGCUGGUCCUCACAGGUCUUGGCAGCCCAAGUGCACGGCUCUGACAGCGAUGAGAAGUACAGGAUCCCCUGACACCGUCUAGGGACAUCGGGCUGAACCAGGGGUGCAGAGUGCUGGAGGAGGGGCCUUUGGACAUCACCAACUAAAGGCUUGAUUCGGAGUGUGGCCAGGCACCACGGCCAGCCCAGCAGGACACAGGAUGCUGGAGCAGAAGAAGGCAGCGGGCCUGCCAAUCAUGGUGCCCUGCUUCAGAGUGAGGCAGUUGGGAGGGCCUUCCGGAAGACAUGGAGGAAAGUCAGGGCAGCCGACGAAGCUGGAAGCCCAGACGUGGAGUCGGCUGCCCUGGGUUCCACUCACAGUGCCACAUACCAGCUGUGUGGCUCCAAGCAAGUUCAGCUCUGAUCUGGGGACAACUGCCCUCUGUGGGAGAGCUGGUCCGAGGAUUAUAAAUGCGUGCGUAAGGGGAAGGCAAAAAGCAAGGUGGCAACUCUCAGGACUACCGAUGGGAACCUGUCUGCUUCUGGGACUGGGCGAGGAAGGACAGAGUGACCUGAUCAAGGUUGCAGGCUAAUAUGGUUUGGCUGUGUCCCCACCCAAAUCUCAUCUUGAAUUGUAGCUCCCACAAUCCCCACAUGUCAUGGGA
RNAcentral lists this long non-coding RNA (1029 nucleotides) under Homo sapiens (human). RNAcentral's name for it is "HSALNT0406514". Lineage: Eukaryota; Metazoa; Chordata; Mammalia; Primates; Hominidae. The record is from RNAcentral.